RNAcentral lists this unclassified non-coding RNA (358 nucleotides) under soil metagenome. Its description in RNAcentral is "partial contains 5.8S ribosomal RNA, internal transcribed spacer 2, and large subunit ribosomal RNA". The stretch from base 1 to 120 matches the Rfam family "5.8S ribosomal RNA", at positions 35 to 154 of the family's 154-position model. The record is from RNAcentral.
GAUGAAGAACGUAGCGAAAUGCGAUAAGUAAUGUGAAUUGCAGAAUUCAGUGAAUCAUCGAAUCUUUGAACGCACAUUGCGCCCGUCAGUAUUCUGGCGGGCAUGCCUGUUCGAGCGUCAUUACGCCCCUCAAGUCCCCUGUGGACUUGGUGUUGGGGAUCGGCGAGGCUGGUUUUCCAGCACAGCCGUCCCUUAAAUUAAUUGGCGGUCUCGCCGUGGCCCUCCUCUGCGCAGUAGUAAAACACUCGCAACAGGAGCCCGGCGCGGUCCACUGCCGUAAACCCCCCCAACUUUUUAUAGUUGACCUCGAAUCAGGUAGGACUACCCGCUGAACUUAAGCAUAUCAAUAAGCGGAGGA